CUUUGCUCUCAUCCAGAAGCUGUCAGAAGAGCUGCUGGCCAAAUGGCUGUCUCUCCCUGAGGCACAACAUGUGCCACUCUGCCAGCACAUGCUGGGCUUUGCCAUGAAGUCUGUCACACAGACAGCUAUGGGCAGCAGCUUUGAAGAUGACCGGGAAGUCAUCCGAUUCCGCAGGCACCAUGAUGCAAUUUGGUCAGAGAUUGGAAGAGGUUUCUUGGAUGGGUCUCUUGACAAAAACAUGACUAGGAAGAAGCACUAUGAAGAUGGUAGGUUUCUCCCAAAAUUACA
Cyanistes caeruleus (blue tit) is the source of this 288-nucleotide non-coding RNA. NCBI's taxonomy places the organism in Eukaryota, Metazoa, Chordata, Aves, Passeriformes, Paridae. The record is from RefSeq and is a predicted model, not a curated record.